Molecule: long non-coding RNA, 1422 nt
Organism: Amphiprion ocellaris (clown anemonefish)
Lineage: Eukaryota; Metazoa; Chordata; Actinopteri; Pomacentridae
Source: Ensembl
UGUCUCUUGAAUGUCCUUUUUUGGUGUUAUGAUGAACGUAUUCACACCAUAAAGUGUCAUGGCGUUUGGCAGCACACCCCUAAAGACCACUGUGCUCAGACACAGGAAGUGAAGUGAACCACACAUUGUAUACUGUGACAUGUAGCGCACACACACACAAAAAAAAAACACAUACACACACAGGUGUCUUACAGAUGUACAUAGCUGGUUCCUCCAGUGUCCACCAUGAAAGCUGACGGCUGCCGGACCUUCCUUCUUGUGUUGAUCUUAGCAGUUCUUGUCUUCACUUUGGAUGGUGGAGACUCUGAAGAUGAAGAAUGCACCACAGAAUUUAAAGUUCGCCGCAACACAGUUUACAAGGCUUUAGUUGGACAAGAACUCAGGAUUAACUGCACAAUUGUCUUCUGCAACAGUUCAACAACAGUCUCCUGGUAUAAAUUUGAGGGAACAUAUUUCCCUGUUGAUGUCAGCAGCAGCAGUCACAUUAAAACAGAGUGGAAGAUGUUAAAGGAGCUGGAAGGGAUAUCAUUUUUGGUCUUCCCAAAUAUUCUCAGAAGCGACUCAGGUAAUUAUCAGUGUCGCAGUGGAAGAGAUGUGAGUCAUAUCAUCAAUGUUACCGUCUAUGGUGAUGUUGAGCUCUCCACGGUUACACCGACAACUCAAGAUUCAGUUAACACAGCAGCUGUGGACAUUUUCUGGCCAUUUGUGUACCGCACUGUUGGGCUCAUGGUGCUUGUCAUCAUAGGGAUAUCUAUCUGGAUCAUACCAAAGCGAGCAUGUAAAGGAAAAUCUCAGAGCACAACAGAUCCGAGUCUCCAGCCUCAGCAUCACAUCUAUGAAAAUGAUCUGUAAUCUUUUGUCUGUGCUGCGAAAUCAUCCUGCUAAGCCCAAUUAAGGACAUUAGAGCAAUGAUUUUAGAGUUUAUUUAAGACAUUUUAACUGCUGUAUGUGUCAGAUGAGUAGCUAGACUUUGCUGUUAUUGUGCCUUGUAAUUCAAUGUAAUACGCAUAUAAAUGAUUGAUUGGGUUCUAUUGACUUUAAAAUGAUCAAAUCAGCUCAACAAAAUAAUUUUUUCAUCAGUGUUUCACCGUUGCCUGUGUGUCUGUUAGUGUUGACUCGAUUUUGUGCUUGUGUUUUCCUGUAAAUCAAACCGUUGCAACACAGAAGUGAAAUUUCUCACCUGGAAACCAUUGUUGGAAUCCUACUGUGUACGUGCAAAAUGUGUCACAAGUGAAUAAUUUAGUUUCCUACAAGUGAAAAUUGUCAUGCACACACACAUCUGGUGGAAAUCUCACUAUGAAAUGUGAUUGUCUUUAUUACUGUGUGUAUCUGUUUGCAUCUGUGUUGUUUAUGCUCUGUUGGUGCAGAUUAAAAGGAUUCUCUUCUCAAGUACAGUAUCUGAUGUGCAUUUGAGAGCAGCAA